CCUGUUGAACUCACCUGUUAGGUUUCCUUGCUCAUUGCCCAGAUGGUGGUAGGGUUAUUAGAGACAGGAAACCGUGUCGAAGAGAGACGUGCCAACCCGGACAAUAGAUAAGCAGGACAUUCAGAACUGGACUGUGCAAUUGUUAAGGGUUGGAAUGCUACUGGAGAUAAUCAAAUAGUCGACUUCCGAGACAGGUUCCCAAGGCAGACUUGAACUCCUUCAGUGUCUUGGAUGUGACCACCCAGGUCGGCAGGGAGUUCCAGUCUUGGACGACACGCUGGGAGAAGAAGCGGGCUCUGGCGUCAACUUGACUGCGGCUCACUCGGAUUUUGAACGGAUGACCUCUUGUACGAGUGUCACGGGAGAUAUCCCAUAGAUCUGCAGGUUGUAUUGGACAGUUUCCGUUGAAGAUUUUCCAGCAUUUGAUCAGGUCAGCCCUCAGUAGUCGUCCCUUUAUGGAGUAAAGGUCGAGCG
Amphibalanus amphitrite is the source of this 474-nucleotide long non-coding RNA. RefSeq lists it as uncharacterized. Lineage: Eukaryota; Metazoa; Arthropoda; Thecostraca; Balanomorpha; Balanidae. The record is from RefSeq and is a predicted model, not a curated record. The transcript has 2 exons.